UUCAAUUUCAUUCAUUUUUGAUACAAAGAUCCAUCGUGUGGUUGUUGCUGUCUCGUCGUAUUAUGCGCUGUCAGAAAAAAAAUUACUGUAACCUGUUUUACUUUUAAUUUGUGUACAUUUAAUAUAACAGGAAUUAAUGUACAUAUCUGUACUGUUAGAUUAAACAUUUAAAGGUACACUAUAUGUAUAUUAAUUUCUGGAUGAAAUAUACAUGCUAAAUGUACUAACGAUGUAUGCUUCAGAAGACCACCUCAGUGACGAAGAAAAAUAGUACAGGGUUUUUUGUUUUGUUUUUUCCCGACAAGACCUCAAUGCCAUUAAAAUAACACUAGAAAAGAAAAUGAGUAAAUGUUCAUAUAUGGUAUACAAAACAAGUUAUUUCCUGCAGAUUAAUGUAACCUGUGCCCUGUAUAGAUAAAUGGCUGAUACUUGUAAUCAUUAGUCCUUAAAUAAGCACUACAUAAUAUUAAUUUUUGCCUAUGUGUAAAAUUUUGACGGUGCAAAAAAUGUGUUGACUCUACAAUUUGGGCUCACUUGUGCCUGCUUAUACUUAAUUGUUUAAUCAUAAAUUUUCAUAAUAAGUCAGAAAAUCUGUGACAAGCUGAGAACAGCAAACCAAGCAUCAACCUCAGCUGAGUCAUAUGAUCCAUUUGGAAAAAGAAUCCAUAUAAUCUGUAUGAAUAAUUUAAAAUGACCGUGCCUUGACAGGUUUAGAUCGGUAGCCAUUUUGAGCUGCCAUAAUUGAAAACGCUGAAAGACAGGAGAUUAGCUGAACUUUCGAGGUCAUUUGUUCUUAAUGUUUUGUUAAAAAGGCUAGUAAAUUAUGUAGCUUUUUUUUCAUAGUAGAUGAUAUAGUUUAGCUUUGCCAAGUAGUUUUAACAUAGUUUCAUGUGGUUUCUUUUGUGAAAAUGUUUUAUUAUAUUACUUCAAAGAGUGUUAUAUAUUAAGGAUAAUCUUGCAUGCUUACCAACAGCAGGAUAACUGAAAUUCAAACAGUGAAAUGAAAUGUACAAUGAAAACAGUUCUCUCUCCUCUCUCAUGGCAUGUAAAUUCUUGGAGAAUACUCAGUUCUAAAGCAUUCUAUUGUGUCUGUCUAUAUUCAUAAAACACAACCACCACUGCACAUUUUCUAAUAUCAGUGUUUUAGUAUAUUCCAAUCCCAAUAAAUAAUGUUCAUCAUCCUUUAAGCCAGGGUUUCUCAAUCCAGUUGCACACAGGAACCCCUUCAAUUUCAAAAGGCAUUACAGCCACUCCAUCAGUAUAGGUUUAAUUCAUGAACAUAAUCCAACUACUCAACGAUUAAUCUCUUUAUUCCAUUGUGUACUGUAAUGUUCUGCAUAUUUGCUGGAUUAAAGCCACAGAGCUUGUUAUUCCAGAACUUUCCACUGUCUGAACGUAUGAGAGGCAAGUUGACGUGAUUUAUAGCCUGACAUGUUUUUGAGUUAUUUAGGAUUUGGUUCAAGCGGUCAAACAGGAGAUAAGGACUCAAAAAUAAUGAAUGAUAUCUUUGGAUAAUGGUGGUUUGUGAUUUCUGAUACUCUGCUGGUGAGGACUCUACUUUAAGAAUGACAGCUUUAAGAAGGUAUAUGGUUUAAAUUCACUCAGACAAAUUUUUAUCUCUGAUGAUAAUUGAUGAUAUUGCAUGAACGUUCAUGGGCGUUAUUACAUAUAAUAGGACACUGCAGUCUGCUGUAGCUUUAUACAGUUUUACAGAGCUUAGAUACCACCUACUGUAGCAGGUGUAUCUUUAUCAAGUUAAAAAUCAAUAGGAUAUUUUUUCAUUGUUCUGAUAUUACUGCACAAAUAAAGGCUUUAAACUAUUUAGGCAUCAUUUUAAUUGUGGACGUUGUAUAAUUAUGUAGAUCACGUGUAAUACAGGAUCUUAUAUUUAAAACAAGUAGUUUAAAGACAUCCUUUAUGCAUUACACAAUUAAAGUUAUAAGAGUGUAAUAUUAUGCUCAGUAGAGUAUAUGACCACAGAGUGAGCAGAAGUUAUGGUGUCUUGUGCAACAGGAAGCACAGCACAAUAUUUUUAGACACAUGGGCCAAAAUUCAUCUUAAGCAAUCUCACAAGGAUGUUACACAUGCCCUUCGUAAGUGCUCCUCAUACAGAAUACAGAGGGACGGUUGGACCAGUUGCUGUCAGAGCUUACAGAUUAACUGGAUGUACCUGGAUCCAAACUUUUCAACAGAGAGCUAUAACUCCGAAUUAAAGUAAAGUCAAGUCAUAAAAAUGGAUGUGACACGAAGCCAAAGGCAGUCCAGAGGAAAGAGAACAAUACACGGAGAAACAAGCAGAGCCUCAUGCUCAUUAGCCUGCUUCAUCAGCCAGAGACUGAAAGAGAGCGUGGAGCGACAGAAAUAUAGAGGGAUCUGGGGGAGCAAACAAUACGCUGAUAGAUGGUGUAAAGGAGAAAGAAGGAGCAAUUCGUUGUGUCAGUGUUACGAUGCUCGUGGAACACUGAUGCUUUGUGCUGUUGUAGAACAACCUCUAUUUAAGUGAUGAUAGGCCAGUCAAGUCUGUGUGCAAGCUGUGUUCAUGGUAAACACAAUAUCUUGACUGUCACAGGUAGAAACAUCUGGAAUUCUUCAUCAAUAACCUUCAUUCAGCAUUGAAGGAACUCUAAAUCCCGCAAAACAUUCCAAACACACACCACUGACAGGCAGAUUGAAGAUGUGGAAAGCCUAGCGAAUGCCUGAGGAUCUCCUAUAGGACAAACAGCCAGUAUGGACAUCCAUAUGUUUUUUCUCAAAAGGGUUCCACUGUUAUUCCUUUGUCUGUUUUCUCUUAAAAAGUUACAUGUUGCAUACAUCUACUCUUUCAGUGCUUGGUAGCCUUUCUAUUUAACCACCACCACCACCACCUACACCUCUUAAAAAAAACUAAUAUCAUACGGAAAUAAAGUACCAACUCCUCGGCUCAGGUUAAAAGCCUAUGCCUGUGAUUUAAUUGGAGGAUUUAGUCAGUAAAAGUGAAAGUUGUCUUCUGAAUCCCAGUUCAAGCAAAAUGAUGAAAGCAUCUCAUCUUAAAUCAAUUUCAUUACCUCCAUCUUAAGGUUUUAAUCCUCUCAGCGAUUUUGAAAAAAAAAAUCCUUAAUAAAAAAACAGCCCUAUUAAGCACCCAACCAGUGCAAUUUUAUUAAUUGUUAAAUAACACACCUUAAACCAGUGAAAUUAAAAGUUUAUCAUUGAAUUUACAAGAAAUUAAAAGUAGC
This is a long non-coding RNA of Tachysurus vachellii, 3215 nucleotides long. RefSeq lists it as uncharacterized. NCBI's taxonomy places the organism in Eukaryota, Metazoa, Chordata, Actinopteri, Siluriformes, Bagridae. The transcript is spliced from 3 exons. The record is from RefSeq and is a predicted model, not a curated record.